This 1066-nucleotide ribosomal RNA is filed under the name Alteromonas macleodii. RNAcentral describes it as "bacterial SSU rRNA". It matches the Rfam family "Bacterial small subunit ribosomal RNA", at positions 51 to 1115 of the family's 1533-position model. The record is from RNAcentral. Lineage: Bacteria; Pseudomonadati; Pseudomonadota; Gammaproteobacteria; Alteromonadales; Alteromonadaceae.
ACACAUGCAGUCGAACGGUAACAUUUCUAGCUUGCUAGAAGAUGACGAGUGGCGGACGGGUGAGUAAUGCUUGGGAACUUGCCUUUGCGAGGGGGAUAACAGUUGGAAACGACUGCUAAUACCGCAUAAUGUCUACGGACCAAACGGGGCUUAGGCUCCGGCGCAAAGAGAGGCCCAAGUGAGAUUAGCUAGUUGGUAAGGUAAUGGCUUACCAAGGCAACGAUCUCUAGCUGUUCUGAGAGGAAGAUCAGCCACACUGGAACUGAGACACGGUCCAGACUCCUACGGGAGGCAGCAGUGGGGAAUAUUGCACAAUGGGGGAAACCCUGAUGCAGCCAUGCCGCGUGUGUGAAGAAGGCCUUCGGGUUGUAAAGCACUUUCAGUUGUGAGGAAAAGUUAGUAGUUAAUACCUGCUAGCCGUGACGUUAACAACAGAAGAAGCACCGGCUAACUCCGUGCCAGCAGCCGCGGUAAUACGGAGGGUGCGAGCGUUAAUCGGAAUUACUGGGCGUAAAGCGCACGCAGGCGGUUUGUUAAGCUAGAUGUGAAAGCCCCGGGCUCAACCUGGGAUAGUCAUUUAGAACUGGCAGACUAGAGUCUUGGAGAGGGGAGUGGAAUUCCAGGUGUAGCGGUGAAAUGCGUAGAUAUCUGGAGGAACAUCAGUGGCGAAGGCGACUCCCUGGCCAAAGACUGACGCUCAUGUGCGAAAGUGUGGGUAGCGAACAGGAUUAGAUACCCUGGUAGUCCACACCGUAAACGCUGUCUACUAGCUGUUUGUGACUUUAAGUCGUGAGUAGCGAAGCUAACGCGCUAAGUAGACCGCCUGGGGAGUACGGCCGCAAGGUUAAAACUCAAAUGAAUUGACGGGGGCCCGCACAAGCGGUGGAGCAUGUGGUUUAAUUCGAUGCAACGCGAAGAACCUUACCUACACUUGACAUGCUGAGAACUUUCUAGAGAUAGAUUGGUGCCUUCGGGAACUCAGACACAGGUGCUGCAUGGCUGUCGUCAGCUCGUGUCGUGAGAUGUUGGGUUAAGUCCCGCAACGAGCGCAACCCUUGUCCUUAGU